CCUACGGGAGACAGCAGUGGGGAAUAUUGCACAAUGGGGGAAACCCUGAUGCAGCGACGCCGCGUGAGCGAAGAAGUAUUUCGGUACGUAAAGCUCUAUCAGCAGGGAAGAAAAUGACGGUACCUGAGUAAGAAGCUCCGGCUAAAUACGUGCCAGCAGCCGCGGUAAUACGUAUGGAGCAAGCGUUAUCCGGAUUUACUGGGUGUAAAGGGAGCGCAGGCGGCCUAGCAAGUCUGAUGUGAAAUGCCGGGGCUAAACCCCGGAGCUGCAUUGGAAACUGUGAGGCUGGAGUGUCGGAGAGGCAGGCGGAAUUCCUAGUGUAGCGGUGAAAUGCGUAGAUAUUAGGAGGAACACCAGUGGCGAAGGCGGCCUGCUGGACGAUGACUGACGCUGAGGCUCGAAAGCGUGGGGAGCAAACAGGAUUAGAUACCCCAGUAGUC
Molecule: ribosomal RNA, 440 nt
Filed under: uncultured bacterium
Lineage: Bacteria
Description: partial 16S ribosomal RNA
Rfam family: Bacterial small subunit ribosomal RNA
Source: RNAcentral